Molecule: long non-coding RNA, 1368 nt
Filed under: Marmota monax (woodchuck)
Lineage: Eukaryota; Metazoa; Chordata; Mammalia; Rodentia; Sciuridae
Source: RNAcentral
CUCUAACACCACUGUUUAUUUUUAAAACUUUCCUCUUGAUGGGCCUAAAUAGAAGGGAGAGAUAUAAAAAUAUUUUUCUUAUAUUAUCAGUUUUUAUUCUUUGCAAGCUUGAAAAUCACUGCACUUAACCUGAAUCUAGAUAGUUUAUGUUGGACUGAAAUGGUAAGUAAAAUAAAAUACUGGAAACAAAACUUCUAAAAGGUUUCCAAACAUUUUAAACCUUUAUUUUCUCUUUCCUGUUUUGAGGCAUUUUCACAAACUGUGACUUGAGUUGGAUUGUUUCUCUCUGUGGAUUCAAAACUGCCAUAAAGUGAAAUUUAUUUAUGGAUCUCCAAUUUCACAUUUUUGAAUCUACAGUAAACAACAAAAGAAAAGAUAUAAAGUUGAACAUUGAAGUGUAUGGCAUCAGCUUCUACUUGUAAUUUAUUACUUCUGCAAAGCCUAAACAUGUAGUUGCUUCUCAAAAUUCAUUGAAUUUUUGAAAUUAAUGGUGAAAAUUGUUGAAAGAUUAUACUUAGCUUUUGAUUUAUUCCUGAUAAUUCAUAAUUUACUGAUGGAAAAAAAAGAGAAUUUCAUUUUAAGGAGUGGAAAAACUAUAUACAUCUAUGUAUUAUACAUAUGUAUUUUAUAUGUGUAUAUAUGUACAUAUACACAUACAUAUCAUAUGUAUACACAUAUGCAUAUGGUGUAAAUAACAUAAGUAGAGUCUUUAGAGUGUAGACUAUAUAUGCUCCAUAGGAAUAUUAUCUUUAUAUGUAUAUACAUGAAUAAAAUAUACAAGUAUUUUAUAAAACAUAUAUCUUUAUAUAUUAUACUAUAUAGAUAUAAUAUUAUAUAUAUAUAAUCUUAAUAUAUAUUUUCACAUAAACAAAUAACUCUUCUCAACAUGUUAGAAAGUAAUUUUGCAUAUAAACAUUUUACUUUCAAAAUCAUAAAAUUACUGGAUAAUUGAUAAAAGUCAUAAUCCUGGUGUUCCUCUUAAUUCUGAAAAAGGUUCAGUUAUUUUAAAGUUGAGAAGUUUCUCAAGCAUAUUCAGGUAUAAUCAACAUAAAUCACUCUCAGAUUUUAUGUUACCUCAGACAAAAGUUGUAACAAUUAUCAAUAUUGCCAGAAAAGCCUUAAAUAUUACUUUAUAUUUCGAAUUAAACAAGAUUUGAAUACAUUAUUAAUAAAUAUAUGAAUUAAGAGAUGUAAUAACUAAGAUGAUAAGAGGCAAUAUAUCAGUUUGCUGUGAUUAGGUAUUUUGAAAUUGAAUAAAAACAUCUCUAAAAAUUUCAAGUUCUUGGGAAUAAUGAUUUAUAAGUUUUACUAAAUGAUGUGUAAAUAAUUUUGUGAAUAAUUAUUAUAACUUUAAAUGAAAUCUGUAAC